This 332-nucleotide long non-coding RNA is filed under the name Rattus norvegicus (Norway rat). RNAcentral describes it as "long non-coding RNA NONRATT012150". The record is from RNAcentral. Lineage: Eukaryota; Metazoa; Chordata; Mammalia; Rodentia; Muridae.
GCAGUUUGUGACAUCUCUCUGUAUGACAUCUGUGACUACAACGUCACCAGGGACCAGUGCAAGGAGCUCGGAUGCUGUUUCUACAAGGGCGUCUGCUACAAGAAGGUUGUCCCCAUUUACGUGCAGAUGUUCUCCACCCUGAUUGUGCUUGUGACCGGGAUCAUCAUCAUCACCAUCAUUUACAGACCCCUCUGAAAACCCUCCAUGAAGAAGACUGAGGGGCAAGUAGAAGCCCCAACGACCAACAGUGGCAGUGCCGCGUCCCGGUGAGCACCUUCAGUGUGUGAGACAGAGAGCAUCUGUGAGGAAAAAAAAUAAAAGCAUUUUCUUGA